AAGUCGUAACAAGGUUUCCGUAGGUGAACCUGCGGAAGGAUCAUUACAGAGUUCAUGCCCUUCGGGGUAGAUCUCCCACCCGUGUGUAUCAUUAUCGACUGUUGCUUUGGCGGGCCGCGUGCCUCGCACGCCUGGACCGCGGUCCGGCGCGCCCGCCAGAGGACCCCCAAACUCUGAAUGUUAGUGUCGUCUGAGUACUAUUAAAUAGUUAAAACUUUCAACAACGGAUCUCUUGGUUCUG
This 241-nucleotide unclassified non-coding RNA is filed under the name air metagenome. Its description in RNAcentral is "partial contains small subunit ribosomal RNA, internal transcribed spacer 1, and 5.8S ribosomal RNA". The stretch from base 1 to 46 matches the Rfam family "Eukaryotic small subunit ribosomal RNA", at positions 1786 to 1831 of the family's 1831-position model. The record is from RNAcentral.